GAUGAACGCUGGCGGCGUGCCUAAUACAUGCCAGUCGAGCGAACAGACGAGGAGCUUGCUCCUCUGACGUUAGCGGCGGACGGGUGAGUAACACGUGGAUAACCUACCUAUAAGACUGGGAUAACUUCGGGAAACCGGAGCUAAUACCGGAUAAUAUAUUGAACCGCAUGGUUCAAUAGUGAAAGACGGUUUUGCUGUCACUUAUAGAUGGAUCCGCGCCGCAUUAGCUAGUUGGUAAGGUAACGGCUUACCAAGGCAACGAUGCGUAGCCUACCUGAGAGGGUGAUCGGCCACACUGGAACUGAGACACGGUCCAGACUCCUACGGGAGGCAGCAGUAGGGAAUCUUCCGCAAUGGGCGAAAGCCUGACGGAGCAACGCCGCGUGAGUGAUGAAGGUCUUCGGAUCGUAAAACUCUGUUAUUAGGGAAGAACAAAUGUGUAAGUAACUAUGCACGUCUUGACGGUACCUAAUCAGAAAGCCACGGCUAACUACGUG
RNAcentral lists this ribosomal RNA (497 nucleotides) under uncultured bacterium. RNAcentral's name for it is "partial 16S ribosomal RNA". It matches the Rfam family "Bacterial small subunit ribosomal RNA", at positions 28 to 507 of the family's 1533-position model. The record is from RNAcentral.